This 1838-nucleotide long non-coding RNA is filed under the name Panax ginseng (ginseng). RNAcentral describes it as "long non-coding RNA (PGIN_LNC008779)". Lineage: Eukaryota; Viridiplantae; Streptophyta; Magnoliopsida; Apiales; Araliaceae. The record is from RNAcentral.
AAAACUGUCAGAUCAAUAAUCUUUCAUUAGGGGCCUUAGUAAACUUUACGGGUGAUAUUGAUUAUGUUAAGAUGCAUCGGUUAGUAUAUGAAAAACUUUUUUCCUUCCACUUGUUUGCUUAGUAUCUGUUUAGUUGCAUGGCAUAACAUAAUCCCAGAUUUUUAGUAUGUUGAAUUCAAGGCCAAUAAUGACAUAAAUUUUUGAUAGAUUUUUGAACUUGGUUGAUAACUUUAGCUUAGUUAUAAUGUUAUACAUGAUGUGAUCCAUGCUUGUUGUUUUGAUGUUAUCGGGUAGCACGACAAUGUUCCUAUUUGUUAGUUGGCUAAGAUUAGCAUGCUUGUCUUCUGAGAGGAUAACGUUGUUUUUAAUGAUAGAAUUGUGUAGAAAGUAAUUAAUGACUAUAAAACACAGAAACUCAAGUUUUGGGAACGUAUUGGGUAUACUUGUUAUCUCUUAAAAAAAGGAGAAAAAAAUUGAAUAAACACCGUGGCUAGUCUUGUUUCGGGGCCUUUGCUACUUGAGUAAAUACACCCGAGGGGAUUGUCUCUACACCUAGCGCCCUAAAGCCCGAAUGAUUUGGAAGUCGUUGGUUGAAAGCUCGCUAAGUGGUAGCACUGUUUAGCCUAAUGGAAUGAGACAUUGCACAGCCAUGGAAAAUAUAAAAAAAAAUUAAUAAACACCGCGGGAAAGUGCGAAAAUCUCCCUCGUGAGUAAAAUAAAGCAAAAUAAACCCUUUGUUGAACCUUAGCUUGUACUGAUGUGUUGGAGUAGUUGUUGCUUCAUUUAUGUGCAUAGUUCUUGAUUUGAAACCUCAGUUUUCUUUCUUAAGAAGUAUAGCAUGUGGAAUCUUCACCUUUGUCAAGCUUAUCUGUGAAUACAACACACACACACAACAUUUUUAUUAUCCAAUUGUAUGUCAUUAUGCCUUUAGCUUAGUUUGAUGCUUUGUUCAUAGAUCUUGAUAUUUCUUUGAGGCAUAUCUUAUUGGAAUUCUUGAUAUGACUAAAAGUCUUGAGAUUCAUUUGCAUGAUAGUAUAAUUGCAUAACAUGUAGUUUGCAUUUGUGUUUAUUGCUUGAGGGCAAACAAUAGUUCAAGUUUGGGGGUAUUUGAUAAGUAGGUUUUAGACCUACUUAUUGGUUAUCAACUUGCUAGAAUUAUGCUUAAACUUAAGUAUUUUUAUGUUUGAUUGUUUUUUAUGUUUGUUUUGUAGGUUGCAUUAAGAAAACUAAUACGGCAUGGCAAAGGCAUGGAAAUGGCAUGGAAGUAGCAAAGCAUGGUGAACUUGUGCUGGAACGAGGAAUGAAGCUGAGCAAGUGCAUGUGAGGAGGGCAUCUGAGCGAGUCAAGUGAAGAUUUGAGAAGUCAAGUGAAGGCAAAUGAAGUUGAAGACCAGUAGCAAUGUAGCAGCAAAACACCAAUAAUAGUGCAACAGAUUGCAAGAAUUAGCAGUCGCGCGAUAGCGCCAUAGCGUAGGGCAAUGUUAGCGCGCUCGCGCCAGGAACAUUCCAAAAUUCAACAUGGCGCGCCCACGCCCCAAAUGCUAUACGGGGUCGCACGGUCGCGCCAGUCAAGGCUAUUAAAAAGUUGACUUUUCAUUUUAAGUUUGUUGUAGCGAGAUUACUAGAAAGGGGUGUAUUUUCUAGUUACAAGAGAUCAUUAUUAUCAGUUAUAUUUUCCAUUUUUAGGGUUUCAUAGAGCAAGAGAGAUUCCAUAGCUUUCUACUACUAUUUUGCUUCUCUCUUUAGAUCUAGUAGCUUUUGAAUAUAGAAGUUUAAUUUGGUUUUGAUUAUGGAUCUGAACUGAGUUGGAAGCUUGCAUUGGACAGAGUUUAAAUCAUA